This is a long non-coding RNA of Alosa sapidissima (American shad), 895 nucleotides long. RefSeq lists it as uncharacterized. The transcript is spliced from 4 exons. NCBI's taxonomy places the organism in Eukaryota, Metazoa, Chordata, Actinopteri, Clupeiformes, Clupeidae. The record is from RefSeq and is a predicted model, not a curated record.
GGCAGCGCAUUACUGUCUCUACGACACAUUUCAUGAAGGAAACACCAAAGACCCAAAAGAUGUCCUCCGAAGGAUAAAGAUAGUUCCUGAACUGGCAGGGAGAAUUAACAGCCAGGUUGCAGAACAACUCUUUACAACCAUGAAGAACAACAACUACUACAUGAAUUUGCUCUCACCAUCGGCUCAUGUUGUCAUGAUGUGUAAUGUGAUUCACAAUUACAAUCAGCGGAAAAACAAGAAGAUCAAGGAGGAAUUGAGAAAACUUGUGAAUCCUGAUGUUCCGAUGUGUCUCAGUCAGUAUGGUCAAGCAGAAUUCUGUCUUUCAGCCAACAGAGCUUUGCCCUGACCCAGUUGUUGCCUCCAUGGAGUGUAGCUCGGACCCAGAUCAUUCACCACCUUCUAAAUGUGCAAAUUUACAGCUGCUCUCCUCAGCUGUUGACUGUAUUAAUCCCAAUUUAGUCUCUGGAAACAAGAACCAAAUGCAAGACUCUCUGAAUUGCUGGACUAUGUAUUGGACACUGAGGGUGACCCAGAGGAGGAAAUAAUCAAAGUCCACAACUCUUCAAUCACAAGAUCUGACUUUUGCACUCUGGGCUUAGAACAAGAAUUUGACGUAAGGGUAGCAAAUUGUUGUUUCAACAUUAUUGUCAAGACUGCAAAUGCACAUGUAAGUUACAUAUAUUACAAUUUACAUAAUCUGUGGAAUCAUGUCACAUCAUCUGUGGAAUCCUACACAAAUAGUGCAUCUAUUUUCAAAUUAAGGGUAUUGCAACUGUGGCUGUGGAUGCAUGAGGUGGUAACCUGAAUCCCUCCAUAUGAGGCUUCUUCCACGGCUGAAUUGUAGGGGUGUAAAGAUUAACCGAUACGUAUCGGUAUCCGUUUUUAAAGGGGAACU